GACGAACGCUGGCGGCGUGCUUAACACAUGCAAGUCGAACGGAAAGGCCCUGCUUUUGUGGGGCGCUCGAGUGGCGAACGGGUGAGUAACACGUGAGUAACAUGCACUUGACUUUGGGAUAACUUCAGGAAACUGGGGCUAAUACCGGAUAGGAGCUCCUGCUGCAUGGUGGGGGUUGGAAAGUUUCGGCGGUUUGGGAUGGUAUGGCGGGUUACCCGCUUGUUGGGGGGGUAGGGGCUGUCGCAGGGUUCGAAGGGUAGCCGGCCUGAGAGAGGGAACAGCCACAAUGGUACUGAGGGACGGCCCAGAAGCCUACGGGAGGCAGCAGGGGGGAACAUGGCGCAAUGGGCGGAAGUGUGAGGCAGCAAUGCCGCGUGCGGGAUGACGUCUUUCUGGGUGUAAACCGCUGUCGCCGGUGACGAAGAGGGAGUGACGGUAAUGGGUAAAGAAGCCCCGGCUAACUACGUG
Molecule: ribosomal RNA, 468 nt
Filed under: uncultured bacterium
Lineage: Bacteria
Description: partial 16S ribosomal RNA
Rfam family: Bacterial small subunit ribosomal RNA
Source: RNAcentral